AGCAGUCGCCGCGGGAAUACAGAGGGUGCGAGCGUUAAUCGGAUUUACUGGGCGUAAAGCGUGCGUAGGCGGCUUCUUAAGUCGGAUGUGAAAUCCCUGAGCUUAACUUAGGAAUUGCAUUCGAUACUGGGAAGCUAUAGUAUGGGAGAGGAUGGUAGAAUUCCAGGUGUAGCGGUGAAAUGCGUAGAGAUCUGGAGGAAUACCGAUGGCGAAGGCAGCCAUCUGGCCUAAUACUGACGCUGAGGUACGAAAGCAUGGGGAGCAAACAGGAUUAGAUACCCCCGUAGUCCCUGUCUCUUAUAA
Molecule: ribosomal RNA, 303 nt
Filed under: uncultured bacterium
Lineage: Bacteria
Description: partial 16S ribosomal RNA
Rfam family: Bacterial small subunit ribosomal RNA
Source: RNAcentral